Molecule: ribosomal RNA, 376 nt
Filed under: uncultured bacterium
Lineage: Bacteria
Description: bacterial SSU rRNA
Rfam family: Bacterial small subunit ribosomal RNA
Source: RNAcentral
AUUGAACGCUGGCGGCAUGCCUUACACAUGCAAGUCGAACGGCAGCGGACCUUCGGGUGCCGGCGAGUGGCGAACGGGUGAGUAAUAUAUCGGAACGUACCUUUCAGUGGGGGAUAACGUAGCGAAAGUUACGCUAAUACCGCAUAUUCUGUGAGCAGGAAAGCAGGGGAUCGCAAGACCUUGCGCUGAUUGAGCGGCCGAUAUCAGAUUAGCUAGUUGGUGAGGUAAAGGCUCACCAAGGCGACGAUCUGUAGCGGGUCUGAGAGGAUGAUCCGCCACACUGGAACUGAGACACGGUCCAGACUCCUACGGGAGGCAGCAGUGGGGAAUUUUUGGACAAUGGGCGCAAGCCUGAUCCAGCCAUGCCGCGUGAGUG